RNAcentral lists this long non-coding RNA (554 nucleotides) under Medicago truncatula (barrel medic). RNAcentral describes it as "lncRNA gene48503". Lineage: Eukaryota; Viridiplantae; Streptophyta; Magnoliopsida; Fabales; Fabaceae. The record is from RNAcentral.
UUAACUUCCACAUAUGGUGCAUUAGUUAUGAUUGUUUCAUGUGAGCCAUAGGCUAUAACUAUUGUAUAUUCUAGAUUUCAAGUUCAUUGUUGAUAACUCUUAAGAGAGCAUGAAAAGUUCAUCAAGGAACUACUCAACGAAAUAACAUGCCUCCAAAAUAAAUAGCAACGAGGAAGAGAAAAGGCUAAGAGAUUGACAAAGUUAUAAAUAAUGUAUAAGCAUUGUUCACCAAUUUCAUCUAAAGAACAAGAAGAGGGAUUAUGUGUUCUUUGUUUAUUUUGGAGUGGUAGAUGAGUAAAGCCAAUGACGUUAAAGACAUGCUUCGUGGGAGACAACUCAUAUGAAGAAAUUUGGGGUUUCAAUUAUAUCGACCAUUUUAAAAAUAUCUUUCAUUAGUUUAAAGAAUGGUUAAUUGUUCAAAUGGAUCAUAUUAUAUAUGUGAAGUCUAAAAAAUAAACCGGUACAAAAAACAUAGAUUCUAUCAUAUAAUUUGAGAUUCUUCGUAUUUUUUGACCUCCUAUUUUUCCUUUAAAGAUAAAUUUCAGAAAAGUGAC